This 460-nucleotide ribosomal RNA is filed under the name uncultured bacterium. RNAcentral's name for it is "partial 16S ribosomal RNA". It matches the Rfam family "Bacterial small subunit ribosomal RNA", at positions 338 to 795 of the family's 1533-position model. The record is from RNAcentral.
CCUACGGGUGGCAGCAGUGAGGAAUAUUGGUCAAUGGACGAGAGUCUGAACCAGCCAAGUAGCGUGAAGGAUGACUGCCCUAUGGGUUGUAAACUUCUUUUAUAUGGGACUAAAAGGUUCCACGUGUGGCAUUUUGUAUGUACCAUAUGAAUAAGGAUCGGCUAACUCCGUGCCAGCAGCCGCGGUAAUACGGAGGAUCCGAGCGUUAUCCGGAUUUAUUGGGUUUAAAGGGAGCGUAGGCGGGUUGUUAAGUCAGUUGUGAAAGUUUGCGGCUCAACCGUGGAAUUGCAGUUGAAACUGGCAGGCUUGAGUAUAGUAGAGGUAGGCGGAAUGCGUGGUGUAGCGGUGAAAUGCUUAGAUAUCACGAAGAACUCCGAUUGCGAAGGCAGCUUACUGGACUGCAACUGACGCUGAGGCUCGAAAGUGUGGGUAUCAAACAGGAUUAGAUACCCCUGUAGUC